RNAcentral lists this ribosomal RNA (253 nucleotides) under uncultured bacterium. RNAcentral describes it as "partial 16S ribosomal RNA". It matches the Rfam family "Bacterial small subunit ribosomal RNA", at positions 524 to 776 of the family's 1533-position model. The record is from RNAcentral.
UACGAAGGGGGCUAGCGUUGCUCGGAAUUACUGGGCGUAAAGGGCGCGUAGGCGGAUAUCUAAGUUGGGGGUGAAAUCCCGGGGCUCAACCUCGGAAUUGCCUUCAAAACUGGGUAUCUUGAGUUCGGGAGAGGUGAGUGGAACUCCGGGUGUAGAGGUGAAAUUCGUAGAUAUUCGGAAGAACACCAGUGGCGAAGGCGACUCACUGGCCCGAUACUGACGCUGAUGCGCGAAAGCGUGGGGAGCGAUCCGG